Non-coding RNA from Arachis ipaensis, 692 nucleotides. Lineage: Eukaryota; Viridiplantae; Streptophyta; Magnoliopsida; Fabales; Fabaceae. The record is from RefSeq and is a predicted model, not a curated record.
UCAAAGAGAAGAGACUGAGUCACUGAGAUAUGGGGAGUAGAGAGGAGUGUGGAGCUACAGAGAUGGAUAAAAAGAGACUGACAGAAGAGAGUGAGCACACGCUCUCAGGUGAUUGUAUGAGGGCAUGCAAUUGCGGGUGCGUGCUCACUUCUCUAUCUGUCAGUUACUUGUUCUCUUAGCUUCCUUCUCUUCCUCCCUUUCUCUGUGUCUAAACUCUAUUCUCGUGCCUUUUUAUUUUCGGUUCUUACUCUCUAAUUAUUUUUCUUUAUUGUUAUUAUUAUAUGUCUCAACUCUCAUGUAUAUAUGUAUUUUCUGGAACUGAUGAACCCUGAUAAUUAAUUAUUAUUAGUUCGCAGCACACUUGAAUAUGACAUACGAAUAGGUUUUUGACACAUGCUCCUGUGGGUGGUGGUGGUGGGAGGUUCAAAGCGUGACUUUUGAUGGUACUUUCUUUUCAUUGGGAUGGAACAAGAAGGGUUGAAGUCGAAACCCAAAUCCAAAUUGAGUUCGUCAAGGCUGUUGUACGGUUUGUCGAUUCAGUGUUUUUACUUAACUGUUCAUAUCUUAACGGAAAAAAUCAAUGUUGAAAGGAAGUUUUAUGAUCUUAAACCGUUGCUUUUUCAUACUAUUGUCCGUCUUCUUGUUCCUUCUUAUCAACCAUGCUACUAUUUUCAUUCUCCAACUUCAAUCUG